UAACCUGCCCAAGAGAUCGGGAUAACACCUGGAAACAGAUGCUAAUACCGGAUAACAACANAUGAUGCCUAUCAACUGUUUAAAAGAUGGUUCUGCUAUCACUCUUGGAUGGACCUGCGGUGCAUUAGCUAGUUGGUAGGGUAACGGCCUACCAAGGCGAUGAUGCAUAGCCGAGUUGAGAGACUGAUCGGCCACAUUGGGACUGAGACACGGCCCAAACUCCUACGGGAGGCAGCAGAA
This 240-nucleotide ribosomal RNA is filed under the name uncultured Lactobacillus sp. Its description in RNAcentral is "partial 16S ribosomal RNA". It matches the Rfam family "Bacterial small subunit ribosomal RNA", at positions 122 to 354 of the family's 1533-position model. Lineage: Bacteria; Bacillati; Bacillota; Bacilli; Lactobacillales; Lactobacillaceae. The record is from RNAcentral.